UACGGAGAGUGCAAGCAUUAAUCGGAAUUAUUGGGCGUAAAGGGCGCGUAGGCGGUAAAAGAAGUCAGAUGUGAAAUUCCGAAGCUCAACUUCGGAGCUGCAUUUGAAACUCUUAUACUAGAGGAUCGGCGGAGAAAACGGAAUUCCACGUGUAGCGGUGAAAUGCGUAGAUAUGUGGAAGAACACCUGUGGCGAAAGCGGUUUUCUAGCUGACACCUGACGCUGAGGCGCGAGAGCAAGGGGAGCAAACAGG
This 253-nucleotide ribosomal RNA is filed under the name uncultured bacterium. Its description in RNAcentral is "partial 16S ribosomal RNA". It matches the Rfam family "Bacterial small subunit ribosomal RNA", at positions 524 to 776 of the family's 1533-position model. The record is from RNAcentral.